RNAcentral lists this long non-coding RNA (5162 nucleotides) under Sus scrofa (pig). RNAcentral's name for it is "lncRNA (ENSSSCG00030045193.1)". The record is from RNAcentral. Lineage: Eukaryota; Metazoa; Chordata; Mammalia; Artiodactyla; Suidae.
GAAUCUCUUGACAAAUCUCUUAGAAAAUGAGUCCCUUCAGAUAAUGUCACUGAUUUCCAAUGCCCUUAUUAGGAAUAAUUACCUAUGGAGCUAAUCACAGUGGUGACAUUUUUCUUGAAUAGAAAGGAGAACGAAGACAUUUUAUCACUGUAACAUUCAGCCACUCAGAAUCUUCUCCCAGCUGAUUAUGGGGUAUUAUUGCUGUUGAUGAGAUGAAGUGGCCAAGAUAAAUACGUUAAAAAACUCCUGAAAUUGGCUACUGGGAAAAUAGCUUAUCUGACAGAGAGAGGAUAUGCAGUCGCUCAAACCAAUAAUGGCAGGAUGCUUUCAGAGUCGCCACGAUCUCUCUCUGCCCUUGUCUUGUGUGGCACAUGACAAACAGUAGUGAAAAUUAGCCAUUAUUGGCAUUUGUCAACCCUCUGGUUCUGUGGCAGGAAAACGGAAACAGCAGCAAUCAUGCUCAAUUUAAGUCUCUCAUGAUGUCAGGCUUUUCGCAGACUCACACACACAUCAGAAGAGACUCGAAAAGGUUUACAGAUGUGCAGUCGGCUAUGACAGUGAUGCUGCCAACGUGGCUCACGGAUCAACUCAUGAUUAAGAUAUCAAAAGCGAUCCCUGUAACUUGCUGACAGCUGGUUCAAUUGUUUGCACCUGUUUCCCCAGCAUUACACAUGUGUCUGGAAUGGAUUAUUCUGGCUUGCGGUAGACACAUUUCACCUUUCCUCACUGUGACGUCUUCCAGCAGCAUCACUGCCAAAGACCAGGGCUUUCUAGAAGGGCCUGUGGAAACAAGAAGCUGGUGUGCUUUCAGAAGUGAACCUGAGAUGCUGGAGUGGACAAGGUUAUAUCAGUCAAGAUUGGUUCUUGAGAACGGUUAAGGGUGAUAUUCGAAUAGUGCUUGCUUCCUCCAUGAAUCAGGGAGAGCUCUGAGAUCUGAUGUCUCACCGGGAUGCUCUGCCCCCUUAAGAGAAUAGCAUCACCAUUCAUCCAGCCAUCUUUUUUUUUUUCCUUUUGCAUUUUGAGCUGCACCUGCAGCACAUGGAAGUUCCCAGGCAAGGGGUCGAAUUGGAGCUACAGCUGCCAGCCUAGGCCACAGCCAUAGCAGUGCCAGAUCUGAGUCUCAUCUGUGACCUAACCACAGCUCAUGGCAACACCAGAUCCUUAACCCACUGGAGACCAGGGAUUACUCAACCUACAUCUUCAUGGAUACUAGUUGGGUUUGUUACUGCUGAGCCACGAUGGGAAUUCCCAUCCAGCCAUCUUGAGUGAGGAGUAUAAGGAAGUGGGGCCCUGGCCCAUGCUCCAUUCCUUGAACUUUUCUGUAGCUCUGGAUACCUCUCUCACCCUCAGAGGCAAAUUCACCGGGAAGCUGACCAAGCUGAAGCUUCACAUUCUUGCCAUUGCUUGAGCCCUUUCCCAGGUUCUGAGAGCUGCCCUCGUGAGGGGUUCACAUGGUUAUAUAUUUUUGUAAAAUGUGCAAAAGUAAGACAUUUUAACCACAGUGGGUUAAGACCGCUGUUUCUUCCCACUUUGACUUCUCCUCUGACAUCCUUCCCAUCAUGUGAUGUGGUGUUGGAGAGGUUGUGGGCACUGUGAGUGUCUGGCUAGGGGGAAGCUGAGUUGGGGACCUGUUUAGUUUGGUUUAGUGGGAUAUUUUUUUUGCGGCUUUGCAGUCACUUCCGUGUAUGUUUCAGUUACUGCUGGUUUCCAGGAAUACUCCUACUUUUCAUAAUUUAGGCCUAAUUUUGAAUUCAUAGUCGAUAUGCUUUUUCUUAAGGAGGAUCCCCUAAAUUGUAAAGGUGUCCAGCCCCACAACACCUGUUAUCUCCUACUUGCUCCUUGAGUAUGGUCACCGAAUCCUGUCAAUUCCAUCUAGUACCCUGGUAAACUGGCUCUUUUUUUUUUUCCUUUUGUCCUUUUAGGGUCACAGCUGCGGCAUAUGGAGGUUGCCAGGCUAGGGGUCUAAUUGGAGCUGUAGCUGACGGCCUACACCACAGCCACAGCGACGCCAGAUCUGAGCCGUGUCUGCGACCUACACCACAAGCUUAUGGCACCACUGGAUCCUUAACCUACUGACUGAGGCGAGGGAUUAAACUGGCAACCUCAUGGUUCCUAGUCGGAUUCGUUUCCACUGUGCCAUGAUGGAAACUCCCUAAACUGGCUCUUGAAAAACAGAAAUCUCUUGUUUACAGUGUUUGCUAAUUUCUGUGGUGGAUUUCCACUGCAAGAUUCCAAGCUACUAAUGAUUUAACACCAUCUCAGAACAUUUCUGAGUAUAUAAUAAUCAGUCCUUGAAACUGGUAGAAGAUGGCUCCGGUGUGGUGCAACUUCUCCCUCAAGAGUAGGUCUAUGGACCACCUCUUUUCUUGUCUUCAUUUCUGAUUACCUUAGGGUUGAAUUGGAGCUGUAGCCACUGGCCUACGCCACAGCCACAGCAAUGCCAGAUCCGAUCUGUGUUUGUGUCUGACACCACAGCUCACAGCAACACUCAGUUUUCUUCUUUUUGGUAUAGUGGUAGAUGGCUGCUCCACUGAUUUGUGAGGAUGAAGGAGAAUAACACCUUUGAAAAUGCCCUGAAAAAGUUGAGAAUGGCUGCUGGAAGGCAGCAUGACCAGAUCACCAGACUAAGCGUCAGGAGACCUGGGAUGCCUAGGUUUGAUAACUAAUCUUGCCAUUAAGUGUGUGGAUUUAGGAAAAUCAUGUGAAUUUUCAGAAUUUCACUUUCAUUCCUAUGUAUGACUAUCUCAUAUGUUUAUAUAGGACUUGGUCUGAAAGUCCUGACACUUUAUAUAAGGUCCUGAGCUGGGAUUAUUUGACAGGAAGCUGGAUGGGAUACAGAAUAAGUGCCAGGGGUGAGAAGUAGGAGCAGCUGGGAGUGCUACAAAAUAGAAAGGAGAGCUCACAGAGAGAGAAGGGCACCAUUGCCCACCUCUUGCUGGGAUAAGAACCUCUUCAGUGUUGGACAUCCAAACCAGGAAUGGAGGGCCUUAGGGUGGCAGGCAUUUUUCCUGCCUUAUGGGGGCCUUUUCCUGUCCCUACCCUCAUACUUACCAUCCCUGUGUCAGCCUGUUCCUAUCUUGGCUGCCUGUAUUGAUGUCUAUACCACCUGGCUUAGGUCAUCAGCCAGAGGCCAUUGGGUCUGUGUCACAUAGGUAACCCUCUCCACUUUUUUUUUUUCUUUUUAAGUCCACACCUGAAACAUAUGGAAGUUCCCAGAUUAAGGGUUGAAUCGGAACUGUAGCUGCUGGCCUACACCAUAGUCACAGCAAGCCAGAUCCUUAACCUACUGAGCAAGGCCAGGGAUUGAACCUGCAUCCUCAUGGAUACUAGUCAGGUUUGUUAGUGCUGAGCCAUGAUGGGAGCUCCCCCUCUCCACUUUUUUUUUUUUUUUUUUUUUUUUUUUAAGGAGAAUGUUCUGGAACUGGUCUGCUUAAGACAUAUCCUUCACUUAUGUCACUAAGAUUGAACUGAGUCCCAGAGCCCGUUGAGCUUGUAGCUGUAGACUUUCUGACCAUUGAUACAUGUUUGUGGCCUGAUCGGCCAUUUCUGUUUAGGGCUAUCUGAUUGGGUCUUUUGUGCCCAGUUUCCCAAUUUUCCCCAUCUUCCCAGGGCCCUGGUAUCUAGUCUUCCUUCCAUCUUUCUGGAAUGACUUAAGGUGUGGCUUUUCAUCUAAUUCCUGUAUUUUCUUUUUCUGUCAGGGCUUAAACCAAAAUCUGAUUUCUGGUUUUUAUUAGGAUACUUGGUAUUUGACUGUGGUCCUGCCAUAGCCUUAAGGGAAUAUUCUUAAGCACACUCUAUGGAGUGGAGAUAUUUGUUGCAAGAUUAAAAAAGACUUAGUAUGUGAUUUUUUUUUAGGGUUGUGAGAUAUGUGCAAAUGACAAAAAUAACUGGUCAAAAUGUCAUCACCUUUCAGGAAAGCAAUUUUGUGGCCACCUAUGCUUUAACUAAAGCCUACAAUCACUGCCACCUCCAAGCCUGGGUUCCCUUCCGUGGUCUCUGAGUCUACACUAUCUCUGCACUAUUAGCUAUGGCCAAGCUUGCCUGGACUUGGUCUUGAAUGACCAGAGCAUCCCUCCUGCCAAACGAUCAGGCUCCAAAGUUAGUCCUGGUUUGUCCUCUUCUCUCAGAUGGCCCAGAUGCUUACCUUCUGCAAAGAAGAAGUAGGGAGGGUCUUGUGGCAUCACAUCAUAUGCACAUUAACUGCAACAAGUCCAACUCUAGGAGUUCAGAGAGGUAGGGUGGAGAUAAUCUCGCAGAUUUUACCCACCCUUCCAGAAAUUGAUUAUGUACCUGGGUGUGAGCAGGAAAUGGAAGCUAGAAAGCUGUUUCCUUUCAUCAAUCUUAGUUUCCUUUCAUUUCUUCAUGGUGUGAAUGUAAUUAUGGUAUUAAAGAUAAAUUUCACUUACCAUCUGGUCCUUAAGUGCAAUCCAAUUUUAGUAGUAGCUGCUCAACCAAAGAAAUAGUCACCUGGGCCAAAGCUGCAGGAAAACUGAUUUUUUUUUUGGACCUUCCAGAGCAUUCUAUCCAAAAGAACAUUUUAUAGCAAUGGAGAGAAGUUCUAUAAUCUAGAGUAUCCAAUAUGGUAGCAAGUGGGCACAUGUGACUGUGGCGUACUUGAUGUGGCCAGUGUGACAGAGGAAUUUAAAUUAGUAAAAAUUAAUAACAGCAUAGCUUCAUUCUACCAUAUUGAAAAAUAAUAAUAGUUUUCAGUUUCUGUUUGGCAAAUUACCACAAACUCAGCAAUUUAUACACUCCCAUUUAUUAGCUCUCAGUUCUUUAGAUCAGAAGUCUGGGCUACCUUGACUGGGUUCUCUGCUUAGAGCCUCAGAAGUGUGAAAUCAAGGUGUUGGUUGGGCUGGGCUCUAAAUUCAAGACUUUGGGAGAAUCUGCUUCCAGGCUCACUUGAGGUUAUUGAUGCAAUUCAGUUUCUUGGAGUUUCCGUCAUGGCGAAGCAGAAAUGAAUCCGACUAGGAACCAUGAGGUUGUGAGUUUGAUCCCUGGCCUCGCUCAGUGGGUUAAGGAUCCGGUAUUGCCGUAGGUUGUGGUGAAGUCGCAGGCGAGGCUUGGACCCUGCAUUGCUGUGGCUGGGGUGUAGGCCAGCAGCUGUAGCUCCAAUUAGACCCCUAGCCUGGGAACCUCCAUAUGCCACAGGUGUGGCCCUG